CAAAUGUCAGCUGUCGUUCAAUCAUUCAUAGAAGUGAAGUUCAGUUAACAGAACUGCAGAAACAUAAGAAGAAAUGCGUCAGUUGUUGACAGAAGACUUGCAGAACAAACAAGUAAUUAACUAUUAUAGAGGGCAGCGGAAGACUUGCAGAAAUGAGGUGUGACACUAGAAAAGAGGAAUCUACCAAUUAAAUGUUGGUCUUAGACUAUAAUUAACACUAGAUCUCCAACUUCUAGGCUAUCGGAAGUUAUAUCAUACUGAUAUACUGUCACCACAAAGUGUCUUUAGUGUCACGUUAUAAGAGGGAAGCUAAUGACAAGUAAAAUCCCGACUAAUACUUGAGAACCAUGUUGCUAUCACAACCAGAAGAUCAACACCUCAAAUUCUCAUUAAAACAACAAAAGCUCAUUGACCUCCAGCAUCAAGGAAUAUCAAUCACUCAAAUUCCGAAACACUCCACAACUAUAAACCGUAGUUUCUGAAUGCAGUCAGUCGCUGUUGCUCCCGAAUUGUUCCAACCACAGCAUGGAGGAAGAGUUGCAGCAGUAGCAUGGAGGAAGAAAGGCUCAGUUCUGGAGGUAAAAGCCAGCGGCGCGAUGAAGUUCAGUUUGGCCAUGGGAAGAAAGUCAGCGCCAGUGGAAGCUGAAUGCAC
This 652-nucleotide ribosomal RNA is filed under the name Triticum aestivum (bread wheat). Its description in RNAcentral is "partial small subunit ribosomal RNA". The record is from RNAcentral. Lineage: Eukaryota; Viridiplantae; Streptophyta; Magnoliopsida; Poales; Poaceae.